AGCAAUGAACUGCUCCAGCCAAAGCUGAUGGAUGAUUCCACUUUUGCGGAGCUAGAACAGACAAUGUGUACCAGAUGCUGGUGAACUGUGAUGUGGAUGGCCUCAACCUACUCUGCCCGAGAAUAAUCAUUCAGACAGUAAAACUGACGCUUUCUCAUGAGCAUCACCAUAUUUGGAAGCCUUAGAGAAACUGGAGAGGAGUCCUAGUACUCCCAGGGGUGAGCCACGGGAUUCAAGCUCAUGUGACAAUUCAGGACCAUGGACAACAACUGGGGGCCUCACCUGCCUCCACCUCCAAGUUCAAAAGUCUGGAGAACUGUCGAUGCCUUUGGAGAACUCACCCAGACUCAACGACUGUGGAAGCAGAGACAAAGAGCAACAACAGAAGAAUGUGAAGAAUAAGAAGGGGGACAAAAUACUCAAGGGAGGAAAUAUAGGGACAAAGGGUGAAGCAGGGAUUGAAGGAAAGGCCAUCCAGAGACUGCCCCACCUGGGAAUCUAUCCCAUAUACAGUCACUAUUGCUGAUGCCAAGAAGUGUUUGCAGACGGGAGCCUGAUAUGGAUGUCUCUUGAGAGGCUCUGCUAGAGCCUUACUGAUUCAGAUGAGGAUGCUUGCAGUGAACCAUCAGACUGAGCACAAAGACCCCAAUGGAGGAGUUAAAGGAAGGACAGAAGGGGCCGAAGGGGAUUGCAACCCUGCAGGAAGAAAACAGUAUCAAUCAACCAAAUCCUCUAGAGCUACCAGGGACUAACCAACCAAACCAUCAACACAUGGAGUGACCCAUGGAUCUACCUGCAUAUGUAGCAGAGAACGGCCUUGUUGGACACCAAUGGAAAGAGAGGCCAUUGGUUCUAUGAAGGCUUGUUUCCCUAGUGUAGGGGAGUGCCAGAGUGUUGAGGUAGGAGUGGGUGGGUGAGAGUGGGAGCAUCCUCAUAGAAGCAGAGGAAGUAGGGGAAUGAGAGGGGGAAAGAGAUAACAUUUGAAAUAUAAAUAGAUAAAUAUUCAACUAAAAAAAACCCCAAGGACUCUGUUGUAGGAGAAUGGAAGACUGUUGCGACCCAGCUCUUCCCUCCACUAACAUGGCCAGGUUUAUACUGUGAUCUGUGCCAACAUGCUUCACUUUAAUUCCCACAAUCACAACACUCAGAAGGCAUUAUUCUUCCUACUUUAAUAGACUUACAGACCUAUGUAACUGACCCAAGCUGUGACUGAGCCAGCAGCAAUAAUGUAAAGGUAUCUGACCCCAAAGCAUUGGUUUUCUCAUCACGUUUCCUGUCGAUGAGUACACAAAACCUUCUUUAAUUCAUUGUCUUCCAAACAGACAGGAUUCUAUUUCCUCAUAUGGGAACAAGUCAACAGAACUGAUAGGUUAAGUAUACCACUGUUCUUCCCUGGAAGAAAGAAUUGUGCUCCCCCUUGCUAACCAGUAGGCAAAACCACUUCCCUAGUCUCAUUGAGAUUGUACAGUUCUGUGAAACAUGACAGGAGGCAAAAGCUGGCACACACACAAAAAGGAGUUACAAAUGCAUGGUACAGUAGUAGGUCUAGGAGCUUUCAAAAUUAUUUUUGUUUUCAUAAAAUUUGUUUUAGAUUUAUUUUAUUAUUUUAUGUGUAUAUUUUACUUAUUUUUAUAUGUGUCCCACGUGGUUCCUGAUGCCCACCGAGAUGAGCAGAGAGUUUCGUAUCUGUUGGGACUGAAGCUAAAGACAGUUUUGAACUGCCAUGUGAGUGCUGGGAAUUGAACAUGAUACAUGGAUCCUUUGCAGAGGAAAUAAGAGCUCUGAAGUGGGAAACCAGAACAGACAGUACCAGGAUGCCAGUUGUGUGCAUUCAGAGAACACUGUAGAAGAGGAACAAGAAACAGUCAAAGACCAAGAUGUUACUGAAAUAUUGCCUUCCUCUGAAAUGGAGUUCCAUUCUUCUCACUUCUGAACCACUUUUAUAAAAAUAAUUCCAUUAAAUUCCACCAUUAUGUAAGUAGUGUAUACAAAUGUUUGUUCCAGAACACAUAAAGGAUGAAAUACGAAUGGAAAGCUUCCAUUGUGCCCAUGACUACUCUCAAAACUUCCCAUUGGAUAAAUAUUGUAGGCACCCCCACCACAGCCUCAAGUAUGAGGAAAUCUGAACAUACGUCUCUGCAUCUACUUGUAUACCAGCUCUAACCAACAUGUGAUAUUAUAAUAGUGUCCUGUGAUCAUGAAAAUUACUCUCAGGAUUGGCCUGGUCUUGGUACAUCAGAAAAAAAGCCAACAACCUGAGACACAAAAUGAAAUGGAAAGAAUCUUUUGAAUAGGAAGUGCCUGGAUAAAGAUGUCGAGAACAGCAAAACACGAAGCCCACAAAAAACUGGAAAGUAUUUCAUAUUGAGAAUGGACCAAUCAAAGCAAAUUAUUCAUCAGAGAUAUUCCAGGAAGUGCAGACGGACAUUUAGACAAAGUCAUGCAAAAGGAAAGUGCACAGGACCUCAGGCUGAAGCCAGAACACCCUGUGGUAGUAAGAAAUCUCAAGGUAAUUCACUCCAGGCCUCUGACAUCUGUCCUGUCCCUUACUGUUUGUUACCUUUAUCACCUGUGCCUCAAAUAAACACUACGCACCAUGAUAUUAAUUCAUU
This is a non-coding RNA of Rattus norvegicus (Norway rat), 2612 nucleotides long. The record is from RefSeq and is a predicted model, not a curated record. Lineage: Eukaryota; Metazoa; Chordata; Mammalia; Rodentia; Muridae.